UGGGGCAUGGCUCAGUGUGUAGAGCACUUGCCUAGCAUGCAUGAAGCCCUGGGUUCCAUCCCCAACACUGCAG
Molecule: non-coding RNA, 73 nt
Organism: Mus musculus (house mouse)
Lineage: Eukaryota; Metazoa; Chordata; Mammalia; Rodentia; Muridae
Source: Rfam